GGGGUUGUGGCUCAGUGGUAGAGCGCUUGCCUAGCACGUGUGAGGCCCUGGGUUCAAACCUCAGCACCA
Molecule: transfer RNA, 69 nt
Filed under: Marmota marmota marmota (Alpine marmot)
Lineage: Eukaryota; Metazoa; Chordata; Mammalia; Rodentia; Sciuridae
Also listed under: 1 other name
Rfam family: tRNA
About the family: Transfer RNA (tRNA) molecules are approximately 80 nucleotides in length. Their secondary structure includes four short double-helical elements and three loops (D, anti-codon, and T loops).
Source: Rfam by way of RNAcentral